GGAGAGAUGGCCGAGUGGUCGAAGGCGGCGGUCUCGAAAACCGCUGUACCCCUAAAGGGUACCGGGGGUUCGAAUCCCUCUCUCUCCGCCA
This 91-nucleotide transfer RNA is filed under the name Acidobacteriota bacterium. Its description in RNAcentral is "Acidobacteria bacterium (sediment metagenome) tRNA-Ser". It matches the Rfam family "tRNA". Rfam says of the family: Transfer RNA (tRNA) molecules are approximately 80 nucleotides in length. The record is from RNAcentral. Lineage: Bacteria; Pseudomonadati; Acidobacteriota.